UGGGGUGACUGCGUACCUUUUGUAUAAUGGGUCAGCGACUUAUAUUCUGUAGCAAGGUUAACCGAAUAGGGGAGCCGGAGGGAAACCGAGUCUUAACCGGGCGUUAAGUUGCAGGGUAUAGACCCGAAACCCGGUGAUCUAGCCAUGGGCAGGUUGAAGGUUGGGUAACACUAACUGGAGGACCGAACCGACUAAUGUUGAAAAAUUAGCGGAUGACCUGUGGCUGGGGGUGAAAGGCCAAUCAAACCGGGAGAUAGCUGGUUCUCCCCGAAAGCUAUUUAGGUAGCGCCUCGUGAAUUCAUCUCCGGGGGUAGAGCACUGUUUCGGCUAGGGGGCCAUCCCGGCUUACCAACCCGAUGCAAACUGCGAAUACCGGAGAAUGUUAUCACGGGAGACACACGGCGGGUGCUAACGUCCGUCGUGAAGAGGGAAACAACCCAGACCGCCAGCUAAGGUCCCAAAGUCAUGGUUAAGUGGGAAACGAUGUGGGAAGGCCCAGACAGCCAGGAUGUUGGCUUAGAAGCAGCCAUCAUUUAAAGAAAGCGUAAUAGCUCACUGGUCGAGUCGGCCUGCGCGGAAGAUGUAACGGGGCUAAACCAUGCACCGAAGCUGCGGCAGCGACACUCAGGUGUUGUUGGGUAGGGGAGCGUUCUGUAAGCCUGUGAAGGUGGCCUGUGAGGGUUGCUGGAGGUAUCAGAAGUGCGAAUGCUGACAUAAGUAAC
RNAcentral lists this ribosomal RNA (722 nucleotides) under Salmonella enterica subsp. enterica serovar Hull. RNAcentral's name for it is "partial 23S ribosomal RNA". It matches the Rfam family "Bacterial large subunit ribosomal RNA", at positions 589 to 1310 of the family's 2925-position model. Lineage: Bacteria; Pseudomonadati; Pseudomonadota; Gammaproteobacteria; Enterobacterales; Enterobacteriaceae. The record is from RNAcentral.